Molecule: ribosomal RNA, 253 nt
Filed under: uncultured bacterium
Lineage: Bacteria
Description: partial 16S ribosomal RNA
Rfam family: Bacterial small subunit ribosomal RNA
Source: RNAcentral
UACGUAGGGACCGAGCGUUGUCCGGAUUCAUUGGGCGUAAAGAGCUCGUAGGCGGCCACUCAAGUCGAAUGUGAAACCUCGAGGCUUAACCUCGAGCCUGCAUUCGAUACUGGGCGGCUAGAGUCUGGUAGGGGGAUCUGGAAUUCCUGGUGUAGCGGUGGAACGCGCAGAUAUCAGGAGGAACACCGGUGGCGAAGGCGGGAUCCUGGGCCAGUACUGACGCUGAGGAGCGAAAGCGUGGGGAGCAAACAGG